AAAUUGAAGAGUUUGAUCAUGGCUCAGAUUGAACGCUGGCGGCAGGCCUAACACAUGCAAGUCGAGCGGUAGCACAGAGAGCUUGCUCUCGGGUGACGAGCGGCGGACGGGUGAGUAAUGUCUGGGAAACUGCCUGAUGGAGGGGGAUAACUACUGGAAACGGUAGCUAAUACCGCAUAACGUCGCAAGACCAAAGUGGGGGACCUUCGGGCCUCAUGCCAUCAGAUGUGCCCAGAUGGGAUUAGCUAGUAGGUGGGGUAACGGCUCACCUAGGCGACGAUCCCUAGCUGGUCUGAGAGGAUGACCAGCCACACUGGAACUGAGACACGGUCCAGACUCCUACGGGAGGCAGCAGUGGGGAAUAUUGCACAAUGGGCGCAAGCCUGAUGCAGCCAUGCCGCGUGUGUGAAGAAGGCCUUCGGGUUGUAAAGCACUUUCAGCGGGGAGGAAGGCGNCGAUUGACGUUACCCGCAGAAGAAGCACCGGCUAACUCCGUGCCAGCAGCCGCGGUAAUACGGAGGGUGCAAGCGUUAAUCGGAAUUACUGGGCGUAAAGCGCACGCAGGCGGUCUGUCAAGUCGGAUGUGAAAUCCCCGGGCUCAACCUGGGAACUGCAUUCGAAACUGGCAGGCUAGAGUCUUGUAGAGGGGGGUAGAAUUCCAGGUGUAGCGGUGAAAUGCGUAGAGAUCUGGAGGAAUACCGGUGGCGAAGGCGGCCCCCUGGACAAAGACUGACGCUCAGGUGCGAAAGCGUGGGGAGCAAACAGGAUUAGAUACCCUGGUAGUCCACGCCGUAAACGAUGUCGAUUUGGAGGUUGUGCCCUUGAGGCGUGGCUUCCGGAGCUAACGCGUUAAAUCGACCGCCUGGGGAGUACGGCCGCAAGGUUAAAACUCAAAUGAAUUGACGGGGGCCCGCACAAGCGGUGGAGCAUGUGGUUUAAUUCGAUGCAACGCGAAGAACCUUACCUGGUCUUGACAUCCACAGAACUUNUUGGUGCCUUCGGGAACUGUGAGACAGGUGCUGCAUGGCUGUCGUCAGCUCGUGUUGUGAAAUGUUGGGUUAAGUCCCGCAACGAGCGCAACCCUUAUCCUUUGUUGCCAGCGGUUAGGCCGGGAACUCAAAGGAGACUGCCAGUGAUAAACUGGAGGAAGGUGGGGAUGACGUCAAGUCAUCAUGGCCCUUACGACCAGGGCUACACACGUGCUACAAUGGCAUAUACAAAGAGAAGCGACCUCGCGAGAGCAAGCGGACCUCAUAAAGUAUGUCGUAGUCCGGAUUGGAGUCUGCAACUCGACUCCAUGAAGUCGGAAUCGCUAGUAAUCGUAGAUCAGAAUGCUACGGUGAAUACGUUCCCGGGCCUUGUACACACCGCCCGUCACACCAUGGGAGUGGGUUGCAAAAGAAGUAGGUAGCUUAACCUUCGGGAGGGCGCUUACCACUUUGUGAUUCAUGACUGGGGUGAAGUCGUAACAAGGUAACCGUAGGGGAACCUGCGGUUGGAUCACCUCCUUACCUUAAAGAA
This 1521-nucleotide ribosomal RNA is filed under the name Klebsiella pneumoniae. RNAcentral describes it as "bacterial SSU rRNA". It matches the Rfam family "Bacterial small subunit ribosomal RNA". The record is from RNAcentral. Lineage: Bacteria; Pseudomonadati; Pseudomonadota; Gammaproteobacteria; Enterobacterales; Enterobacteriaceae.